Molecule: ribosomal RNA, 161 nt
Filed under: Lilaeopsis brasiliensis
Lineage: Eukaryota; Viridiplantae; Streptophyta; Magnoliopsida; Apiales; Apiaceae
Description: 5.8S ribosomal RNA
Rfam family: 5.8S ribosomal RNA
About the family: 5.8S ribosomal RNA (5.8S rRNA) is a component of the large subunit of the eukaryotic ribosome.
Source: RNAcentral
AAAUGACUCUCGGCAACGGAUAUCCCGGCUCUCGCAUCGAUGAAGAACGUAGCGAAAUGCGAUACUUGGUGUGAAUUGCAGAAUCCCGUGAACCAUCGAGUCUUUGAACGCAAGUUGCGCCCGAGGCCUCGGCUAAGGGCACGUCUGCCUGGGUGUCAUGC